Molecule: ribosomal RNA, 253 nt
Filed under: uncultured bacterium
Lineage: Bacteria
Description: partial 16S ribosomal RNA
Rfam family: Bacterial small subunit ribosomal RNA
Source: RNAcentral
GACGAAGGGGGCUAGCGUUGUUCGGAAUUACUGGGCGUAAAGCGUGCGCAGGCGGUUGUGUAAGACAGAUGUGAAAUCCCCGGGCUCAACCUGGGAACUGCAUUUGUGACUGCACGGCUGGAGUGCGGUAGAGGGGGAUGGAAUUCCGCGUGUAGCAGUGAAAUGCGUAGAUAUGCGGAGGAACACCGAUGGCGAAGGCAAUCCCCUGGGCCUGCACUGACGCUCAUGCACGAAAGCGUGGGGAGCAAACAGG